UAUUGGAAACUGUUCCUGUAUGAAAUCCUUCUUGAACACCAGUUCCUUGGCUUUAACUUUAGUCAUCUGUUUGGUGUGUCAUUACCAUGAUGGACUAGUUCUGUGUCUGCUCAUCAUGACAGGAGCAGGCCCACUAAUGUCAGUUCUGGCUUGGCCCUGAAGAACCCACCUCUUCCACCCAGUGGGCUACUCCUAGAACUGGGUGGCUGGAAGUCGUCAUUUAUAGACAAACUGAAGAAAGAAGAACACAAAGCUCCACAAAAGAAGGAUUGUGGAUGUCAGUCACACACUGAUCACCAGAAUGAACUCACAGGGCGGAAGCAC
This is a long non-coding RNA of Polypterus senegalus (gray bichir), 324 nucleotides long. RefSeq lists it as uncharacterized. The transcript is spliced from 3 exons. NCBI's taxonomy places the organism in Eukaryota, Metazoa, Chordata, Cladistia, Polypteriformes, Polypteridae. The record is from RefSeq and is a predicted model, not a curated record.